This 237-nucleotide long non-coding RNA is filed under the name Eurytemora carolleeae. Its description in RNAcentral is "uncharacterized LOC111710092". The record is from RNAcentral. Lineage: Eukaryota; Metazoa; Arthropoda; Copepoda; Calanoida; Temoridae.
UUUAGGGNAACCAAACACCUUGGUAGGGACAGGAAGGUAUCGUCGAUCCAGUAGAUAUCACGAUAAGACGGUGGAUCAUUUUACUCUUUGUGAUAAUGGAUAUAUGGUCACUGCCAGCCUUGGCAGUAAAUUUAUUAAAAUUUGGAAGAUUGAGAAAUAUGAAGAUUGUAUUCUGAAAACUGAUGUUACAGAACUGCAGAUUCUGAGAGAACACUCAGAUUAUCUAAGUGUUGUCAG